UCCGAAGCUGGGCGAGCCUGAUCAGCCAUGCCGCGUGAGUGAAGAAGGCCUUCGGGUUGUAAAGCUCUUUUAGUCGGAAAGAAAGAGUUGCAAUGAAUAAUUGUGAUUUAUGACGGUACCGACAGAAAAAGCACCGGCUAACUACGUGCCAGCAGCCGCGGUAAU
This 165-nucleotide ribosomal RNA is filed under the name uncultured Nitrosomonas sp. RNAcentral's name for it is "partial 16S ribosomal RNA". It matches the Rfam family "Bacterial small subunit ribosomal RNA", at positions 364 to 524 of the family's 1533-position model. Lineage: Bacteria; Pseudomonadati; Pseudomonadota; Betaproteobacteria; Nitrosomonadales; Nitrosomonadaceae. The record is from RNAcentral.